RNAcentral lists this unclassified non-coding RNA (21 nucleotides) under Dictyostelium discoideum. Lineage: Eukaryota; Evosea; Eumycetozoa; Dictyosteliales; Dictyosteliaceae. The record is from RNAcentral.
CGACCCUUCACAACUUUGUGC